AUGGCUGCUCUCGCGUCGGUGGCGGUGGCAGAGCAGGCGGAGCGCUCGACCGAACAAAUCGAGGCGGCUCGCGCGGGGAUGAUGAAUCCACCCGGCGGCCAUAGCUCAUACGCGUCCUGGAGCCAACAAAGCGUCGGAUCUCCGGCCGGCUUCUCGUUGUCGCCACAACGCUGGGGCUGCAUGUCGUCGCCGGGCUAUGUCGACGGCGACGCGCACGGCGGGUUCAACCCCAACAUCACGGUCCCCCAUGUUCACCCGACCCAGCGCACGCCCUUGCCCGCCUUCGCCGGCGUGCAGUACCCUCCGUACACCUACUUGCCGCCGGCGUACGUAGCCUCCCCGACGCCACCUCUUCGCCCUUGCGCGCUGCUCUUCUCACAAGCCUCCUCGUCGCAUCUCGGCGACACCGACGCGACGGAGGUCGACAUGGAAUACAUCAUCAUGACUGGCUCGGCCGCGACCGCGGCCUUCCCCGGGUCCAUUGCCCAAGACGACAUAGUGGACCUCAACGGUGACAUGGACGGCGAGCUCGACUACGACGAGGAAGAGCCAGAGGAGGGGGAGGAGGAGGAGGAGCUGGCGCCUGCUCCGGCGAGGAAAGGGAAGAAGAAGAAGAAGCGGGCGGCCAGGACCGGCGAGCCGCGAUCAAGUGGGCGUCCAAGGAGGACGAGUGCCUCGCCGAAGCGUGGAAAUUCGUCUGCCUCGACCCGAUCACCGACACGAACCAGAGCGUCGAGACGUAUUGGGACCGCAUCAUGGUCGAGUUCUACGAGCGCAAUCUCGUCGACCCCUACUUCAAAGCCGUCUACAUGCAGCGUCGGUCGAAGGCUAUGGCAAACCAUUGGGGGCUCAUCCAAACGGCGUGCAACAAAUGGCAUGGGAUCGUCGAGGAGAUCGCGGCUCGCCCGGGGAGCGGCGCCAGCGUCGAGGAUCAAGUAUAGCACGCCGGCCUCUCCCUUUUCUUUUCGCGGUGUGCGCGCCCGCUGGCUGAUGUUCCUCGGCGCAGCUGUUGCGGAUGUUUGCCAUGUUUCGCCAGGACAACAGCGACCAAGAGUUCAAGUACCUCCACGUCUUCAAGCGGAUCGACAAGUGCGAGAAGUGGGCAGAAGUCUGGCGCACCCUCGCCAAGGCCAAGGAGACGUACAAGCCGGACGCGUCGAUGCCGGGCGCGGCCGACGGGCGCCCGGACGACAACAAAGGGGCCAAGAGGCGAAACACGUCGAGUCGGCUACCACACGUGUGCAAGAGUCCAUCGAGCACUGCCUCGCCGACGCCAAGACCCGGGCCGCCCUGCGGGAAGAGAAAACCGAGGCGCGGUGGUCGGCGUUGAUGAUGAACAGCGCCGUCAAACUCGACUUGCUCCGGACCAACGUCGCCGCGAAGAAGAGGAACACCGACCUGACUUUCUUGAUGGGCGGCGCGGACAUGCUCCAGAGCGGCGACGAGAAGCUCAAGGCGUGGUACCUGGCGGAGCGCGACCUUAUCCUGAACCAUAUACCAGCGACGCCGCCGCCAACGCCGCCGCAAAGCCCGAGCGGUGAUGCCUCCGCGACGCCCAGCAACACAGAAACCGCACUGAUGCCGCCCAACACAGAAGCCGGCCGAUGCCGCCCUGUGCGCGCACGCCGACUCCUCAAAUGCCGGAGGCCGCCACCGCCACCGCCAUCUGAUGCAUUGCCUGCGCGGCCUUUCGUUUUGUAUGCCGAACUUUUCAUUUGGUUGCCGAACUGUGGCGUGAUGAUCGCCGAACUGUGGCGCCGAUCGCUGGACUUGUGGCGUUUUUUUGGGAGCGGGAAUGGACCAAGUUUGAAUUUACGGCGCCUUGGGGGCAGCACCUGGGGGUGUGGCCGGGGCCUUGAUCGCCCCCAGGGCCUAAAAAUUGCCGGGUGA
RNAcentral lists this ribosomal RNA (1890 nucleotides) under Triticum aestivum (bread wheat). RNAcentral's name for it is "partial small subunit ribosomal RNA". Lineage: Eukaryota; Viridiplantae; Streptophyta; Magnoliopsida; Poales; Poaceae. The record is from RNAcentral.